UUAGAGGAAGUAAAAGUNGUAACAAGGUUUCCGUAGGUGAACCUGCGGAAGGAUCAUUACCGAGUGCGGGCCCUCGCGGCCCAACCUCCCACCCUUGUCUCUAUACACCUGUUGCUUUGGCGGGCCCACCGGGGCCACCUGGUCGCCGGGGGACGCACGUCUCCGGGCCCGCGCCCGCCGAAGCGCUCUGUGAACCCUGAUGAAGAUGGGCUGUCUGAGUACUGUGAAAAUUGUCAAAACUUUCAACAAUGGAUCUCUUGGUUCCGGCAUCGAUGAAGAACGCAGCGAAAUGCGAUAAGUAAUGUGAAUUGCAGAAUUCCGUGAAUCAUCGAAUCUUUGAACGCACAUUGCGCCCCCUGGCAUUCCGGGGGGCAUGCCUGUCCGAGCGUCAUUUCUGCCCUCAAGCACGGCUUGUGUGUUGGGUGUGGUCCCCCCGGGGACCUGCCCGAAAGGCAGCGGCGACGUCCGUCUGGUCCUCGAGCGUAUGGGGCUCUGUCACUCGCUCAGGGAAGGACCUGCGGGGGUUGGUCACCACCAUGUUUUACCACGGUUGACCUCGGAUCAGGUAGGAGUUACCCGCUGAACUUAAGCAUAUCAUA
This 599-nucleotide ribosomal RNA is filed under the name Talaromyces pinophilus. RNAcentral describes it as "eukaryotic LSU rRNA". The stretch from base 238 to 391 matches the Rfam family "5.8S ribosomal RNA". The record is from RNAcentral. Lineage: Eukaryota; Fungi; Ascomycota; Eurotiomycetes; Eurotiales; Trichocomaceae.